ACGCGUAUGCAAUCUACCUUUUACAGGGGAAUAGCCCAGAGAAAUUUGGAUUAAUGCCCCAUAGUAUGUAUGAAUCGCAUGGUUUAUACAUUAAAGUUCCAACGGUAAAAGAUGAGCAUGCGUCCCAUUAGUUAGUUGGUAAGGUAACGGCUUACCAAGACGAUGAUGGGUAGGGGUCCUGAGAGGGAGAUCCCCCACACUGGUACUGAGACACGGACCAGACUCCUACGGGAGGCAGCAGUGAGGAAUAUUGGACAAUGGGCGCAAGCCUGAUCCAGCCAUGCCGCGUGCAGGAAGAAGCAUCUAUGGUGUGUAAACUGCUUUUGUACAGGAAGAAACACUCCCUCGUGAGGGAGCUUGACGGUACUGUAAGAAUAAGGAUCGGCUAACUCCGUGCCAGCAGCCGCGGUAAUACGGAGGAUCCAAGCGUUAUCCGGAAUCAUUGGGUUUAAAGGGUCCGUAGGCGGUUUGAUAAGUCAGUGGUGAAAGCCCAUCGCUCAACGAUGGAACGGCCAUUGAUACUGUCAGACUUGAAUUACUAGGAAGUAACUAGAAUAUGUAGUGUAGCGGUGAAAUGCUUAGAUAUUACAUGGAAUACCAAUUGCGAAGGCAGGUUACUACUAGUGGAUUGACGCUGAUGGACGAAAGCGUGGGGAGCGAACAGGAUUAGAUACCCUGGUAGUCCACGCCGUAAACGAUGGAUACUAGCUGUUGGGCGCAAGUUCAGUGGCUAAGCGAAAGUGAUAAGUAUCCCACCUG
This 759-nucleotide ribosomal RNA is filed under the name uncultured Bacteroidota bacterium. Its description in RNAcentral is "bacterial SSU rRNA". It matches the Rfam family "Bacterial small subunit ribosomal RNA", at positions 113 to 875 of the family's 1533-position model. The record is from RNAcentral. Lineage: Bacteria; Pseudomonadati; Bacteroidota.